RNAcentral lists this long non-coding RNA (243 nucleotides) under Phoenix dactylifera (date palm). Its description in RNAcentral is "long non-coding RNA (PDAC_LNC001306)". The record is from RNAcentral. Lineage: Eukaryota; Viridiplantae; Streptophyta; Magnoliopsida; Arecales; Arecaceae.
GGCCAGGCCAAGAUUGUAAGGGUCAAGCUUGGGCCUAAAAAUAGAGCUCAAAUAAAUUUCGAGAUAGCUCGAGCAUAUGCUCAUCCAAUCUAUAACUUUAUUCUCUCUUCAUCUCCUCUCUCUCUCUCUCUUAUCUCCCCUCCCUCUUUACUACAAAACCUCUCUUUCCCCUCUCAUCUCUCUCCAGUCUGCCUCUUAAUCUCGCUCUUCCCUCUCUCUCAUUCAAUCUCUCUCCCACUCCUC